Meriones unguiculatus (Mongolian gerbil) is the source of this 295-nucleotide long non-coding RNA. RefSeq lists it as uncharacterized. The record is from RefSeq and is a predicted model, not a curated record. Lineage: Eukaryota; Metazoa; Chordata; Mammalia; Rodentia; Muridae. The transcript is spliced from 3 exons.
GGGCGACCGCUGGGGCCACGCCCCCGCCACGCCCCUUAAAGGCCCCGCAGUCUUGGGUAACCGGACCCUACAUCCCGCGUGGGCUGCCGACUGAGGACCCAGAGUGCUCCGCAAUUUCCGGAGUUCUGGAGAUUGAACAUUGGAGGCCCAUGCAUUCUAGACUCCAGGCAACUCCCAUCUGUACCCCGGACUUACAACAACGCUGCCUUGGGGAUCCCAGAUGUCCCGGAUUGUGUCAUCUGCCCCGAACCUGCCCCGCUCACACAACCUGAUCCACUGAAACGUUACCGCUAUC